GACGAACGCUGGCGGCGUGCUUAACACAUGCAAGUCGAACGGAAAGGCCCUGCUUUUGUGGGGUGCUCGAGUGGCGAACGGGUGAGUAACACGUGAGUAACCUGCCCUUGACUUUGGGAUAACUUCAGGAAACUGGGGCUAAUACCGGAUAGGAGCUCCUGCUGCAUGGUGGGGGUUGGAAAGUUUCGGCGGUUGGGGAUGGACUCGCGGCUUAUCAGCUUGUUGGUGGGGUAGUGGCUUACCAAGGCUUUGACGGGUAGCCGGCAUGAGAGGGUGACCGGCCACAUUGGGACUGAGAUACGGCCCAGACUCCUACGGGAGGCAGCAGUGGGGAAUAUUGCACAAUGGGCGGAAGCCUGAUGCAGCGACGCCGCGUGCGGGAUGACGGCCUUCGGGUUGUAAACCGCUUUCGCCUAUGACGAAGCGUGAGUGACGGUAAUGGGUAAAGAAGCACCGGCUAACUACGUG
RNAcentral lists this ribosomal RNA (468 nucleotides) under uncultured bacterium. RNAcentral describes it as "partial 16S ribosomal RNA". It matches the Rfam family "Bacterial small subunit ribosomal RNA", at positions 28 to 507 of the family's 1533-position model. The record is from RNAcentral.